This 225-nucleotide ribosomal RNA is filed under the name Pholidobolus paramuno. RNAcentral's name for it is "partial 12S ribosomal RNA". It matches the Rfam family "Bacterial small subunit ribosomal RNA", at positions 881 to 1228 of the family's 1533-position model. Lineage: Eukaryota; Metazoa; Chordata; Lepidosauria; Squamata; Gymnophthalmidae. The record is from RNAcentral.
UACGGGCGAAAGCCUAAAACUCAAAAGACUUGACGGUGCCCCAACCCCCCUAGAGGAGCCUGUUCCAUAAUCGACAACCCCCGAUAUACCUAACCACCCCUAGACCCAAUCAGCCUAUAUACCGCCGUCAAUCAGCCUACCUUUAAAAGCCCUAUAGUAGGCCAAAUAGCAAACACUAAUAAGUCAGGUCAAGGUGUAGCUUAUGGGGUGGAGGAAAUGGGCUAC